Eucalyptus grandis is the source of this 171-nucleotide long non-coding RNA. RefSeq lists it as uncharacterized. The transcript is spliced from 2 exons. The record is from RefSeq and is a predicted model, not a curated record. NCBI's taxonomy places the organism in Eukaryota, Viridiplantae, Streptophyta, Magnoliopsida, Myrtales, Myrtaceae.
CAAUCUUCAAUGAAACAUACGGUCAGAGACAGUCAUGGUGAAUAAUUGUGCUUGAACAUGUGCAUACUAGUAUAUGCAAUUCAAGCAUUCUAAAGGAAAGGCACAGCAUUACAGCAACCAGACAGUAGGUACUCUAUGGAGAGUAGCGCGAAAAAAAAAAAAAAAAAAAAA